This 9193-nucleotide unclassified non-coding RNA is filed under the name Pomacea canaliculata. Its description in RNAcentral is "uncharacterized LOC112572530, transcript variant X3". The record is from RNAcentral. Lineage: Eukaryota; Metazoa; Mollusca; Gastropoda; Architaenioglossa; Ampullariidae.
ACGAGCCAUGUAUCACAUGCAAGUUAUUUUCAAAGAAUAAUAUGAUAUAACAUCAGCGGUGUUCCUCGAGGCCCCUCAACAAUUAUUUAAUCACAGGUAACAGUUGCCUAACUACGAUGAAUACAGUCACAGGUAUUCAGACGGACAAACAGAUGCCAGUCUUGCGCAACCCGCGAUUUCACCGGAAGAAAAGGAUUUGUCUCCCCUGGCACGCGGGGAGCGUUCGCCCGCCGGCCGACGUUGCUUAACCCUUCACACGCUAAGUCACCGGCAAGCGCCAAAUACGGUCGAAGGUCUGUGCCAGUUUGAAAACGGCGCCAUUAACGGACUACACACAAGUUUUAAAAAAGAGAAAUCUUUCUUACAAGGGAUGAAGGCAUUGUAAACAGGAUCUAUCAGGCAGUAAAUGACGACGAAGGGGUCGCGCCCGCUGACUGCUGUUGUAAGAAGUAACAGGUCUCAUGGUUGCUGCCAUUAUUUCGCCCCCAGCAGUCCGGGGUCGAUGCUUUGCGAAGUGACGAGAGAGAGAGAACAGAAAAGAAAAGGAAAAAACGAUUACCUAUGUGCACCAGUCAAGAAGGAAGCACAACAACGGAAUGCUCCAUUUCAGAUGACGAUGAUGACAGCAGCGCCACCCAAUGGAUGUUGAUAACCGUCUUCGUGUGGCUGGGCAUGAUGGCACUCGUCUGGCUCAUCUACACCUGCAGAAAGGCCAGCAGACGUCGACGUCUGCUAAAAAACACGCUCGUGCCGCUGUUGAAACUGCUGGGACUAAACGUGACAUUCGUCGACGACGCGCGUGACGAGGGCAGGGGAGAGCAGCCUCCUCCGUACGAACUGGUAACAAAUACCAGUCAUCGCUUCGUCGGUCCUCCCACCUAUGAGGAGGCUACGGCGGGGUUGGUGAUGGGUCGUGACGUCAGCGUGCAGGAUGACAGUCGAUCUAAAGCCUCCAACGUAUCAACGGCUCCGCAGACGACACCGCUAGCGUUUUCGAGCAUCUCCCAUUGCCUUUCGGAAUGUGACACAACACAAAGGCUGGCUUCAGAGCGACACGUCACCGACCACCACGCCCAUCUCACUGCGGGUACGUCUUCUGGUGAAGAGAGGCCGGGACAAUGAUUUUUCUUUGUUUUUUUUUUUUUUAUAUCAUAUAUAUAGGUAUAGAUAAAGUUCACAUUUAAAACGUAGGAAAACUAAAGGGCUGAUGUAAUGUAAUAUUUGUAGGUGCGUAUCUCAAGAAUGUAAGAUAAAUAUUACCUCCAGUUUUAGGGAAAUAUUAUCUUGAACUAAGCUUAACCAAAUGUUUAAAAAAUAUUGCACCUCACAAGACCUUUAACACACACCGACAGCAAAACUAGUUAGUUGAUUUAGUGUUAUGGUUAAAUUUAUUAUCAAAUUCGUUUAAUAUCUUACUAAAUAUGAACUAACGCCUUUCUGAGUUUGUCACGGCUCGGGUGGCACUACAACUCGCACCAGACAAAUACCCUGUAAUAGACAGAAUGUGGGUCCUGUGCGCAAUGGCUGUGCUAGCAUACAAUCAUCUUGAGCGGUUGAGGUCUUGACUUGUAAAUAGGUGGGAAUUUAUAGCCUGGAAGUGGAACUGGCCCUCGGGUGAAGUUUACUUCCUGCAGGGCUAUUACAUCUGGAUGAUUACUUUUAAUGAAGUUUAAUAGUUCAUGUUUAUUACUAUUUAGUGCCCGGCUGUUCCAUUGCAUAAACUUCACUUGCGUGCUAACCAUGCAGUAGUAAGUUCAUCAGUCCUGACAGGGUUUGUAGCAUAGUUAUCAACACUGGCAUUUCUCUUGCUUUUAGAUUUUUUAUUUUCCAUAAUCUUAUUGCUGUAUUCAUUUACUUUCCUCAUUAGAGACAUGACGACAUCUGAAAGAUUGUCACAGGUCUCUGUGUAGUUUGUCGAGUUUGCUGCCUGAGGUGGGUGACUGUCUUGGUUAAUGGUCAUUGUCAUUUCAGUAGUCUGGUUUACCACGUUGCGGUCAUUAACUGGCUCUGUAUCAACUUCUUCUAUGGGCUGUGAGACUGGGACCAGUUCUUGUGGUGGUGUAACUGUCUGAGGGUCCGGAGGAGGAGAGGUUUGCUGUUCGUUCGUGGGUUCCUUAGUGGGUGCUGUAGCCUGUCUAGUCCAGUAUCAGUCUUUGGAUGAGUUCAGAGCAUCCCGGUAUGACAUUUGGCCGGCCGCGCUGAUCUGGCUAACUUGCCGAUGGAUAAUUUCAAGGGCAGCCUCCAUACCGAGCGCUGUGGCCGGUGGUGCCACAAUUUAUGCAGGUAAAGUCCUUAUUUUCCUUGGGCGAUACCCGGCCUUCAGCUGGACAAUAAGGGGUAGGACUGUUAUACAGUUAUCUCCCCUGGCCGUACUUUAAUUGCGGCCACUUACACGAAAAAACAAAACAAAACAAUAACAAAACAACAACAACAACACCACACACACACACACACAAAACGAUUGCCAGCUCAUGACUCUUUUCAGUCACCUUGGCGUUGACAUCAGCACCCAAACUGAGGAGGAUCUCUCUUUUAUCUUGUCUUUUUACACUUACAGCAGGAGGACAAGACUAAAAAUUUGUGAAACAAAUAUAAACGUAUGUUGAAGUCCUUAUGUAUGCCACCAUCCUGCAAUAUGGCCCGGGAGUAUUCUUGUUUGACAUCGUUGCUUCUGUCAUUGCUUUUCUCACAUCCGCAAAUGUGUUGUGCUAGAUUUCUUCGUUGCACAUCUUUAAUAUGCCGACCUCGGACAACCUGAUGGUUAUUCCGGAUAUACUCUGCAUUUGCAUGAACCCGGAAAUCUCUGUAACGUUUUGUGGAGAGUACGUUACAAAUGUAUGCGAGCGUGUAUAGACAUCUACAUGUAAAAUCUCGCUGGCCGAACUCUUCAACCUUUUUCAAACAAAAAGGAGCGGCCAACAAUUAACACAUUUAACGUUUUUUUUUUUUUUACAAAACGAAUGGUAAUGAAAUGAGAAAGAAAACACUAAAAGUGUUCUAUUGCCUACUGUCUACACACACACUAUAGGUGCAGAACUCCGACGGACGGAUGAGUUAUAGCGAAGAUGGUGUAUCGUCGAUGCGGUCUGUUGUCCUGCAAAUUAUAUCCCAACGAAUCGCAAGCUGUAUCUCGUGUGCUGAUGUAGUUGCUCUGUUCCUCGUCGGUAGGAAGGUGUCGUUCAGGUCUACCCUUCGGUAGAUAAGUUUAUAAGUGUGUAUCUUCCUCCAGGUGACUUUGGACAUGUAGCAAGGGUCUAAAGACAGUAUUUAAGGGGCGUUGUUCGCCUUGGGCAAUAAGGGGUAGGAAUGUAAUACAGCUAACUCCCCUGGCCGUACGUUAAUUGCGGCCGCUUACAUAGAAAAACAACACACACACACAAAGCGAUUGCUAUUCAUAUCUUAUUCAGUGUCAGCUGAACGAGUAUCUGGGUGUGUGGUACUUCUAGGAAAGAGCAGUCUUUAAAGCUGAAUAACAAACGACAGAGACUGAGUUCCGGUAUUUGCAAGGGUUAAAGGUAAUCAGUUAUUACAGCGUAAUAUAUAGUGUAUAGUCACUAAAGUCUUUAAAGCUACGAAUAUAUGUGGCUUAACUUAAAAAAAAAACUACAUUUAAUCUACGGAGACCCACGAAGUAUUCCAAAUAUCUGUUUCAGCCGAGGACGUUUUUCACACUUUUUUUUAAAUCAAAAAUUGAUCAUAUUCUCAUUAGCAAAACCUAACAAUAACAAUAACAAGCAACUUUAUUAGUCCCAAUGGGCAAUUUAAAUGGGAGGUGGUGCUCUGUUUCUAUUAUAUAUUAAAAAAAUAAAGAAAUUAAUAAUAAUAGUAAUAAUAAAUAGAUCAUUCCCAUGCACACCUACACAUCACACAUCACAUCGCAUCACACUUUAAACCUGCUGUUCACGCCUCCCUUACUGUAAUGGGCAUUUGCUGAAAGACUUACAGAAUCGAAUCCUUUUCAAAAUGAAUGAUCGACGUUCUGUCGAUCGCACUUUUUUCUUGUCCUAUUAUACUUAUAGCGGGAGGACAAGACUCAAUAUUUGUGAAACAAAUAUAAACGUAUGUUGAAGUACUUAUGCAUGCCACCUUCCUGCAAUAUGCACGGAGAGUAUCCUUCGUUGUCAUCGUCGCUCCUGUCAUUGCUUUUCUCACAUCCGCAAAUGUGUUGUGCUCGAUCUCUUCUUUGCACAUCGGCAAUAUGCCGACCUCGGACAACCUGAGGGUUAUUCAAGAUGUACUCUUGAUUUGUAAUUACCCGGAAAUCUCUGUAACGUUUUGUGGAGAGUGCGUUACAAAUGUAUGCGAGCGUGUAUAGACAUCUACAUGUAAAAUCUCGCUGGCCGCACUCUUCAACCUUUUUCAAACAAAAAGGUGCAGCCAACAAUUAAAACAUUUAAUGUUUGUAAAAAAAAACGAAUAGUUGAAUGGUCAUUCCUGUCUUCGCCGCUAUUGCACUCUGCGGUUGGUAAACCAUCGCUGGAUGGUAGAACCACAAUGUUAAUAUGUGUCUCUGAAGUCGGGGCUGUUUAGUUAGCAACUAGUGGACUAGGUUUACUGUGCCUACCUGAACUUUCCUUCUUGUUAAGCCAGUCCGCCUGGCCAGCAAUUGUUGUGUGGGAACACUUGGAUAUUUUGAGGGUUUGAAAUAUUGUUCUAACAUUUCUUUUUGCCACGUUUUUAUUCUUCUUCUGCUCUCUCUGGCGGGUGGUUCUGCAACAUGAAGUAGCAGACAAGGCUUCAGGAUGUGUGUGUCGAUGAAUAAGAUGUUAUAAGACGUCACUUAACCUAACAAUAAUGACCGUGAUAAUUACAAUGACCUUGGUUAAUGAAAUGUACAGCUAAAAUAACACUGGCAAUAAAAAUAUAAUUGCAAUUGCAGAAGCAAUUAUAACAAUGACAAUGACAAUUUUAAUGACCAUGACCAUGACAAUUGUUCAUUAACAAGGGUAGGAAACAGCUAUUCUUUAUUCUCGCCCUGAAGAGGGAAAACCAUGUUUUCAAAGUGAGAAUAUGAAAGAAGCAGCGGGUUGAACAUUUAAUGUUUUUUAAAAAAAACGAAUGGUAAUGAAAUGAAAAAGAAAACACUAAAAAGGUUCUAUUGCCUACUGUCUACACACACACUAUAGGUGCAGAAGUCCGACGGACGGAUGAGAUAUACAAUACAAUACAAUGCAAUGCAAUGCAAUACAAUACAAUGCAAUGCAAUGCAAUGCAAUAUAUCUUUAUUGUCUAUGUCUGGUUGGAACAGAGAUAGAAAUUUGUCUUUGUUGCUGGGAGCUCCCACAAUCAACUGAGAAAAAUAUAGCUAAUAUGGUGUAUCAUCGGUACGAUCUGUUUUCCGGCGACUUAUAUCCAAACGAAUCCCCAAGCCGGUUACGUCCAAACGUGCGUAGCGUUAAAGCUGAAGAUUGAAAUGUUUGAAGUCCAAGGCAACACACGCUGUAUCUCGUGUGCUGGUGUAGUUGCUCUACUCCUCGUUGUUAGGAAGGUGUCGUUCGGGUCUACCCUUCGGUAGAUAGGCCUUAACAUCCGUUGUAAUGUGAUGCAUCUUUAGUCUAGAGAUCAAGAUGGCCGCUCCUCGUUGUGCGACGUCUGCAGCUCUGAACUCGAUUUCGCUUUUUCUACAUUUUUCAUCGUUUUUCGUCUGCCCCUGUGUCGGGUAGUCGUUGAGUGAUAGACUAGGGUGUCGAACUGUGUGUAGUGAUGAUGAUCUUACGCUCAGUCUUGUCAGUAGUUUCAUUUUGGAUGGCUGUGACCGUUACCACUAGCCGACAAUAUUAAGAUGGCGGUCAGCUUAUUUAAUGCUGGCCCCCAUCUUCAUUACUCCGCGAGCUCUUGCUUCGUCUUAGUUCAUCUCCCUCUGUUAUCCGGAGUUUUAGGGCGCUGGAAGUCGACAUUAUACGGCUCCCUCCACUUCGCAAAUCUAAAAGGAGAGGACUCAGAGGCGGUGUGAAGCGGAGACAAGCAGUUUCGUCUGGAAGAUCAACGCAGGUCUCCACCUCUUCCUUUUAUCCUGCUCUCCAAUGUCCAGUCGAUUUGUGGCAAGACUGAUGGGCUUGAGGCGUGGGUACACAACUUUCGACUGUUCAGGGAUACUUGUUUGCUGGGGUUUACGGAAAUAUGGCUCUACAAAGGUGACGCUGAUCUGGACAUCUCUGGUUUCUCUGGCUCGUUUCGAUCAGAUAGAUCUGCUACCAUUACUGGCAUGAGGAGUCUGUUUCUAUGUCAACAGCAGGUACUGUAAUACGGUUAUUAUUCGUGAAAGGAUGUGUCCUCGCGACCUUGAACUUCUAACGAUUUCGCUUCGCCCAUUUUUACCUCCCGAGAGAAUUCCCCCAGCUGUUUUUCACCCUUGUGUAUAUUCAUCCCAGGGCAAAUGUUUCCAAUGCGUUACAGUGCAUUGCAGAUGUGACUCACAAUAUCGACUCGAUUUGUCCUGAUGCUCCUAUGUUUAUUUUAGGACAUUUCUGAAUGAAUGAGACAUGAAUAGUUUUGUGCAUGCAAUUAUGAAUUUUAAUUUUAAUCGAGCUGCAACAGAAUUGCCCUCUGGGACAAAUAAAGUCAUAUCGUAGUCGUAGUCGUAAAACUUCGUGAGUCUGUCCACAACACAGACCUCCCGCUGUAUGCCCUCUCGUACCAAUAUAGACACUACACUCCUCCUUUACCUUCACUUUUGUACUUCUCAUUCCACCUUAAUUUUAUUGCUGGUUUUAUUGCUAUUCUUCUCUCUGCUGGUGAAAUAGAGAUGGUGAGGGUGGUGAUUUUAUGAUUGCUAGUUUGUUUUACUGCCAGUUUGGCUAGUUUAUCGGCUUCCUCGUUUCCUUUUAACCCAAUAUGGGAGGGAACCCAAAGGAACCUGACAUCUCCAUUUUCUUUGUUAAUCUUGUUUAUGAGGGACAAUAUUUCAUAAACAAUGUCUACUCUGUUUGAUGAUUGGUUUUGAAGAGCCUGGAGUGCUGACAGGGAGUCCGAUAGUACGAGGAAUUGUCAUCUUGUGGUGUCCCUCAGUUUGAGGUGUAUAGUCUCUAGGGCUGUCUGUGUGGCAGUCAUCUCGGCUUUGAAAAUGGAGGUGUGGGUCGGGAGUUUGAUGGAAAGGUUUAUGUUGUCAGGACAUUAAACUCCCAGCCCAGUUGCUUGCGUUUCUGGGUCGUGGGGGCCAUCUGUGUAUAUCUGCGUGUAGCCCUUGUAGGUGGUGCCCAGUUUGAGUUUGAUCUCUGAGGUGAUUAGGUGUUGAUGGUCCUCUUUGCUAUAUUGAGUGAGAUCAGUGUCUAUUUGCAGGGAAACGUUCGUUUUCCUAAUUUAACUAUCGCCUCUACUUCUUUUGACCAAUCAGGCCACUAGCAACUAGGUAACUAGGACGCUGCUUAGCGAUCCUUCGUGGGGUCCAUGCCGACCAAUCAUAAUCUCUGUACCGUGUAGUCGGCAUAGCUCCCACCUCAGUUGGCCGCAGUCGCCGUAGUUACGCCUAUCACAACUUUUCCUACGUCAAAACACACCGAAUGACGUGAAAUAAUCCGCGGGGAGAUUGCGUCAGCAUUCGCGUGACUGCUCUCCCUUGGUAUAAGAUAAUACAUGUACAUGCCCACAGGUCACCGGUAUAAAAAUAGACGGUCAUAAUAAUCAACUAAAUUAAAUGUUAAACGCCCCCUUGUCUUCUACAAAGAAAAAAAAUUGUUGCUCCACUGUAGAAUACUUACCGCUGAAUGGGGAUUCAAAAUAUAGCUGUUUUCAUAAAAAAAAAUCCUGCUUACUAUUUUCUAAACAAAGUUCUUGCCGUUGCAAAAGCGGUAAAACAUAGUCACGGUCGUUCUCAUUGUUUCCACCACAACGCGAAACUGCCCUGAUCUGAAACACACACAUCAGAAUAAAAGCAAAUGUUUUUGUUCUAUAUGUUUCUGGAUUGCCAUAAUUUAUUGUUAAGCAUUAAACAUAGUAUAGAUGGCAUGUCAGUAUUUCUUUUUAAAAACUGAAAUUAUAUUAUUUUUUUUCUUUUCAUGCCACCUCCACCAUUAGCAACACCACCACAAAUUUUAAAAUAGAAACAAAUUUACAAGCCAAUGUUUUAAUAAAAGUGGAUAUAAAUUGACGAAACAAGGUUCUCCUCUAAUUAAAAUUGAAAUGAAUAAUGAAGGUUGACCAGCAUGCUGCAAAAUACGAUUUAAAAUAUUCAUGUAAGAGGGAGGACCUUCAUCACACGCUUGGCUGGCUGUCUGCUCCCCAUGACCUCUCGGAGCUUCCACGUGCGCUCCCUUUUCUUGCAUAAGCGGUCCAUCGCUUGUCCACCAGCCACGUUCGACCCUGAGUGUUGGAACUUUCGCAUUCCUUUUAAGGUUACUACAUGAUAAGGAGAAAAAUAAUCACCUUCAUGAUUCAUUGAGAACUACAAAUUACUAGGUGAGAGGGAAACAUUGCUAUGAGGUGCUGCAGGGCAUUUUUAUGUCCAGCUUUCUCUGACGCAGGCAUAACAACAGUUAAACUAGAGACAUAAUUCUAUAGUGUCCCGUAAUCAGGGCUGGUGAUAAACGUCUUCCACUUACACCUUCGAAGAGUUAUUUACUUGUUCUACUUUAGUCACAUGCAGCGCCUCCGGACAGGAAGCCACCCGAGCCCUCGACGACUCUGACGUAACCUGAAGCCUAACCUUUAACCUUUGACCUAAUAAAAGAUGGAAAAGAAACUCUUUAGAACAGAAAUUGCGAAAUAUACCCAGAAGAUAGCAUUCUCCUCCCCCACCUCAUUUCUUUCCACCCUUACACGCCAGUAAUUUACUUUUGGCACGUGCGACCUUUGACUCAUUGACUUAUGUCCUUAUGUCUCGGGACUUUGGGAACAGCAAGUAAAGUAUUACAGGUGCAGGAGUUGUUUUUUUUUUUUUUUUUUUUUUUUUUUUUUUAAAUGCAGACGGUACCUAUUUCAUUUUUAAAUCUUUGCUGUGUUUUGUGCCUGGGUCAAAAUUAAAAAUGGAUUGUGAAAGCCUGGGUUUACGAUAGAUUUUAUAGAAAAAGUCGCAUUUAAUUACUGCUAUUUCCAGGAUAUUGUUAUUGUUGUUAUUAUUUUUUGAAGACACACGAUGAAGUGCGCAUGCCUAAGCAUUCUGUUGGCUGUCGCUCGUGAGUUUACGUCUUACGACGAAAUCAUUAUUUGACACAAUGUUACAGUUCAUGUCUUGGAAAAUAAAAGAUUUGUGAACCAA